UUUGGUGUUCAUCACCGUGAAGAGAGUUCCCUUUGUUCUUACUUCAUGAUCGAGUUGUACGA
RNAcentral lists this transfer RNA (62 nucleotides) under Mesopedinella arctica. The record is from RNAcentral. Lineage: Eukaryota; Dictyochophyceae; Pedinellales.